RNAcentral lists this non-coding RNA (588 nucleotides) under Pongo abelii (Sumatran orangutan). The record is from RNAcentral. Lineage: Eukaryota; Metazoa; Chordata; Mammalia; Primates; Hominidae.
GGGAGAGGGGAGCGGGGCCGACACAGGACUGCAGUUGACAGCAGAUAACUGAAAGCUUGGAAAGUGAAACCGUGGAUAAGCAGGGGAACUGUGGCAUCCCAUUUAAAAUUGCUUCUGAAGAGAAGCAUGAGGUUACAUCUGUAAUCUCCCUGCAGCAGAGUCAACUGCAUAAGAAACCAAAAGACACAUCUGCUCCAUGCCAGCCUAAGCCACCACAUAAAAAGUCAGACCAUCUGCUGGAAGAACCACAUGGAGAGGCCCUGAGUCGACAUGGAGAGGAAGAAGGACUUGAUUGAAUCCAGCCUUCCAGCUGUCCCUACCAAGGUGCCAGGCACGAGAAUGAAGCUGUCUUGGACUCUGAAGACCAGCUUAGCCACCAGGUAAAUGCCACUAAGUGACCUCACUCAAUGUCAUGUGGGAUGGAAGAAUCACCCAGCCAAACCCUUCCUGGAUCCCUGACCCAGAAAUUUGUCAGAUGUAAUGGUUGUGUAAAGCCACUCAAUUUGGGGGCAGUUUGUAUGCAGCAUAGCUAGCUGGUAUGAUACAACAGCCUGCAAUUCAGGCAGCAGCAGCACUAACAACCAUGAA